GGGGCUGAUUCUGGAUUCGACGGGAUUUGCGAAACCCAAGGUGCAUGCCGAGGGGCGGUUGGCCUCGUAAAAAGCCGCAAAAAAUAGUCGCAAACGACGAAAACUACGCUUUAGCAGCUUAAUAACCUGCUUAGAGCCCUCUCUCUCUAGCCUCUGCUCUUAGGACGGGGAUCAAGAGAGGUCAAACCCAAAAGAGAUCGCGUGGAAGCCCUGCCUGGGGUUGAAGCGUUAAAACUUAAUCAGGCUAGUUUGUUAGUGGCGUGUCCGUCCGCAGCUGGCAAGCGAAUGUAAAGACUGACUAAGCAUGUAGUACCGAGGAUGUAGGAAUUUCGGACGCGGGUUCAACUCCCGCCAGCUCCACCA
RNAcentral lists this transfer-messenger RNA (363 nucleotides) under Escherichia albertii. Its description in RNAcentral is "Standard tmRNA". It matches the Rfam family "transfer-messenger RNA". From Rfam's summary of the family: Bacterial tmRNA, also known as 10Sa RNA or SsrA, is named for its dual tRNA and mRNA-like properties. Its role is to liberate the mRNA from a stalled ribosome. The record is from RNAcentral. Lineage: Bacteria; Pseudomonadati; Pseudomonadota; Gammaproteobacteria; Enterobacterales; Enterobacteriaceae.